UGGGGAAUAUUGCACAAUGGGGGAAACCCUGAUGCAGCGAUGCCGCGUGAGGGAAGAAGGUUUUCGGAUUGUAAACCUCUGUUAUCAGGGACGAUAAUGACGGUACCUGAAAAGAAAGCUCCGGCUAACUACGUGCCAGCAGCCGCGGUAAUACGUAGGGAGCAAGCGUUGUCCGGAAUUACUGGGUGUAAAGGGAGCGUAGGCGGGACAUCAAGUCAGGUGUGAAAACUAUGGGCUCAACCCAUAGACUGCACUUGAAACUGAAGUUCUUGAGUGAAGUAGAGGCAGGCGGAAUUCCUAGUGUAGCGGUGAAAUGCGUAGAUAUUAGGAGGAACAUCAGUGGCGAAGGCGGCCUGCUGGGCUUUUACUGACGCUGAGGCUCGAAAGCGUGGGGAGCAAACAGG
This 404-nucleotide ribosomal RNA is filed under the name uncultured bacterium. RNAcentral describes it as "bacterial SSU rRNA". It matches the Rfam family "Bacterial small subunit ribosomal RNA", at positions 355 to 776 of the family's 1533-position model. The record is from RNAcentral.